Molecule: ribosomal RNA, 322 nt
Filed under: uncultured Thaumatomastix
Lineage: Eukaryota; Cercozoa; Imbricatea; Thaumatomonadida; Thaumatomastigidae
Description: SSU rRNA
Rfam family: Eukaryotic small subunit ribosomal RNA (bases 102-322)
Source: RNAcentral
GAUUUCUGGAUGACUGUGCUAGCCCGCUUCUUUACGGGAGUGUGCGCCGGUACAAGUCGUUCAUCUUUCUAGGGAGCCUGGUCUACUCUUCACUGGGCGGGCCAGAGCGAUCUAGAUCUUUUACUUUGAAAAAAUUAGAGUGUUUAAAGCAGGCGUGUGCUAUGAAUACAUUAGCAUGGAAUAAUGAUUUAGGACUUUAGUCUUAUUUUGUUGGUUUCCAGGACUGAAGUAAUGAUUGAUAGGGAUAGUUGGGGGUGCUAGUAUUCAGCGGCCAGAGGUGAAAUUCUUGGAUUCGCUGAAGACUAACUUAUGCGAAAGCAUU